UCUUGCCGCGUGCUGGUGUUGGAGGACUCUCCCUGCUUCAGAUUUACCAACAGCAUGAAUCAAGAAAAGUUAGCCAAACUUCAGGCUCAGGUCCGGAUAGGGGGCAAGGGUACAGCUCGCAGAAAGAAGAAGGUGGUACAUAGAACAGCUACAGCUGAUGACAAAAAACUUCAGAGUUCUCUAAAAAAACUGGCUGUCAAUAAUAUAGCUGGUAUUGAAGAGGUAAAUAUGAUUAAAGAUGAUGGAACAGUUAUUCAUUUCAACAAUCCCAAAGUCCAAGCUUCCCUUUCUGCUAACACCUUUGCAAUUACCGGUCAUGCAGAAGCCAAACCAAUCACAGAAAUGCUUCCUGGAAUAUUAAGUCAGCUUGGUGCUGACAGCUGCUUAACAAGUAGGAAGUUAGCUGAACAGUUCCCUCGGCAAGUGUUGGAUAGCAAAGCACCAAAACCAGAAGACAUUGAUGAGGAAGAUGAUGAUGUUCCAGAUCUUGUAGAAAAUUUUGAUGAGGCAUCAAAGAAUGAAGCUAACUAAAAUCUUUUCUGGUUUUUGGAAGUUGGCAUGGACUAGAUUUAACAAAUCAGCUAUGUGGUUCCAAAGUUUUACAGACACGGAGAACAUCAACUGUUACUAGUUCAGUAAUAUAAUAUUUUGUAUAUUAAUAAUGCUGUUUGUUCAGCAUUUUCGGUCA
This is an RNA transcript of Myotis brandtii (Brandt's bat), 688 nucleotides long. It is a transcript of the gene named transcription factor BTF3 homolog 4 pseudogene, with no coding region annotated. The transcript has a single exon. Lineage: Eukaryota; Metazoa; Chordata; Mammalia; Chiroptera; Vespertilionidae. The record is from RefSeq and is a predicted model, not a curated record.